GGGGGAAUUUUGGACAAUGGGCGCAAGCCUGAUCCAGCCAUGCCGCGUGCGGGAAGAAGGCCCUCGGGUUGUAAACCGCUUUUGUCAGGGAAGAAACGAGUUUCUCUAAUACAGAGACUUAAUGACGGUACCUGAAGAAUAAGCACCGGCUAACUACGUGCCAGCGGCCUCGGUAAUACGUAGGGUGCAAGAGUUAAUCGGAAUUACUGGGCGUAAAGCGUGCGCAGGCGGUUAUGCAAGACAGAGGUGAAAUCCCCGCGCUCAACCUGGGAACUGCCUUUGUGACUGCAUAGCUAGAGUGCGGUAGUGCGGGUUGGAAUGUCGCGUGGAGCAGUGAAAUGCGUAGAUAAGCGGAGGAACCCCGAUGGCGAAGGCAAUCCCCUGGACAUGUUCUGACGGUCAUGCACGAAAGCGUGGGGAGCAAACA
Molecule: ribosomal RNA, 427 nt
Filed under: uncultured bacterium
Lineage: Bacteria
Description: bacterial SSU rRNA
Rfam family: Bacterial small subunit ribosomal RNA
Source: RNAcentral